This is a long non-coding RNA of Esox lucius (northern pike), 3610 nucleotides long. The record is from Ensembl. NCBI's taxonomy places the organism in Eukaryota, Metazoa, Chordata, Actinopteri, Esociformes, Esocidae.
CAUCCACGCUUCAAAAUUGUGUUUUAAUUAAAAACGGAUAACAUUUUUACCCAAGCAGUACUUUACUUCCUUUUCUUAAAUGUGCCACACAUAGAAAAAUCAAAAGAAUCAACUUCUCUUUAGAGACCAAUACAAUGCAUAAUUAUUCUUUGUAAGGGGUUUGAUAUGAAAGACUUUCCUCUUUUCUCCUGCAUUAGUUAUACUACGCGCAAUGAACAAUAUUCACAACUAUGUACAUUCAGACAUAAGUCUCAAUUAACAAACAUCAUCCACCAAAACAAAGGAAAGCAAAAAAAAAUACUUCAAAAGUAAAAAGAUAGAAAAAAGCUAAAAUUAAACAAUAUAUUUCUCUUUAAAAAAUAUACUUGAUAAAGAGUUUUACAAUGAAAAUAUGAGUUAAAUUAUGAUUGCUUUAUUAUUACUAUCAAUUAACUGUAGGCACAUUGUAGAUAAGUGAGGCGUUGUUCAACUGGAUUCUCUGGGAGGGUAGAGAUGCCCGAGGCUGCCGCCAUUAUGGUGAUUACGUGACCAUGCAGCCACCAUUUUGAAAAGGUCGUGGUUGACACUUGUGUAAACAAAAACACUUGCGAACCAGCAGCCUGUGUAAUAAUCAGCUAGUGCCCAACAACCCCCUUUUAACCUCACCCCAAUAACAGUACGGUACAAAAUAAACAGUUGUGUGGCAACACAGCAUCAGGAGGCUCAAUGAGCUCGGGUUGGAAGAGAUAUAUAAAGACAUAUUAUGCUUUGACAAAAAGGGUAUUCUUUGGCAUACACGAUCCGUUGGAUUUCCUUUUCAAUUAUGCCACAUACGAAAAACUCCAACAGAAAUAACAUGGAUCCCCAAUAACUAAAUAACGCCACAACAGAAACAUUCAUCCAAGUCAUCUCAAGGAAGCCAUUUUAAAAUAAAGAGCUUUCGUAUUUGAUCAGGACUAUUUAAAGAACAAAACAAAAAGAAUAAAAACGACUAUCUAGAAGAAAUUAAAAUAGCAUGGUUCACACGUUUGUGAUGAGAACAAAUCCCAGAAAGCUCACACACCGAUCUGACCGCAACCAAUCACAUCACCACAUCAGAACCACACGCUAACCUCAACGUGCCAUGUGAUUUGGGACAAACAUCCAGAGAUGUGAUUGGUGGAGGUAAUGCACAUGGAGGUCACGAAACAUCAUCCUGAGUCUCCUAGAUCAGUCAUCCACCACCAGGCCAAUAAACAUGCACAGCUAGAGGAUGACUACAGCACAUUCAAUGCAGACUACCAAGCUACCAUAAUAAACUGGUGUGUGUGUGUGUGUGUGUGUGUGCACACUGUACAAUGGCCUUCAUCACACACUGCUGAUGUGGCUACCAGAAGCAGGAAAAUACUAAGCCGAUGCAUUUCCUUAUAAUCUACAACAUAGAACACAGCCAAAGUCAAGACCCUUUCAAAACCCCCCAUGAAUACAUUAUCACCAAUACAUUAUCACUGUCAUGCAUUCAGAAAGCUCCACGGUGGGCGGCCAUUUUUCUCCUAGUGGUCUACCAUUCUUUUAUAAUAUUUUACUUGUGGGAUUUUGGUCAAAAACGAUUACACAGGUGAAUGUGGAUAAAAGGCAGUUUGAGGGUUGACCACUGGAAGUGUCCCCCUGCCAUUAACAACAACCACAAGUGCCAUUAAGACCCAGAGCCUACCUGUGAACACACCCACACACAACACCCAGAUGAACACACAAACUUCACCUGCCCUGUCGAUGUGUGAAUGUGACACUGCGUAAGUCUCACGGAGGUGUUGCCAGGGUAACCCUGUACGACUGUUUUAAGUGAAGGAUAUAUUGCCAGAAAGAUGACCCCCCCCCCCCCAUCUUCACAGAAAAAAGCUGUGGAUAGGAAGCCGCUGAGAAUCUAGCUCAGAACAGAGCAGCUGAGGACUCUACUCUCCCUCUCCUCUUCUCUCUGUCACUUUCUCUCUCCAUCUCCUCUUUUCUUCUCCUCAUCCUCCCCCUCUCUCUCUUUCUCUCUCUCUGGAUGGUGACAAAUGAGAGGUUCAGGAGUCUCCAUAGAAAUGUCCUGUCAGUUCCUGGGCUGCAACGGUACUAGUAUUUUUAGUUCUGCUCCACAUUCUCCACAUAGAGAGACAGAGGGUACCAGGGUACCAGGGGACCAGGCAAGGUGACCUCUAAAACCAACGUGGAUUUUGUGUAUAAAAAAAACAGAAACAAAAGAAACAAAAAUCUCCUGAAGUGUAGAAUUUGGCACACACAUUGUCCUUUAGCACAGGGGCUGUUCCAGAACCUUCACGUAAACAGAUCCUAAACAUCACACUGUAAGCCAGGCUUGUCACCCCCUCCGAUGAAGCCCAUAUGAACUGUACCUAUGGCGACUUAUCGUAGUCCAGAGAUGCACGGACCGACCUGUAAAAUAUUGGACUGUUGGCUUUUUAGACAUAAUCGAAUUCUACGCCCAGCUCAAGCUGUGAACAACAGAAUAGAAGACGUAUACAGAGAGGGUUGUCUGGGAUAUCUGGAGGGAUGUCUGUUUGGGCUGUGUAUCCCCGACAGACAGAGGUCCAAGAGAAACACCAACAGGAACUAAACUACACCCUGAAUUAACCUUAAGGCAAAAGGAUAACAACACAGCAGUGAUUUGUUACCAAGUGACUAGUUAAAGAGAGGACAGGGGAGGGUUAAAGAGAGGACAGGGGAGGGUUAAAGAGAGGACAGGGGAGGGUUAAAGAGAGGACAGGGGAGGGGUAAAGAGAGGACAGGGGAGGGGUAAAGAGAGGACAGGGGAGGGGUAAAGAGAGGACAGGGGAGGGGUAAAGGGAGGACAGGGGAGGAGUAAAGAGAGGACAGGGGAGGAGUAAAGAGAGGACAGGGGAGGGGUAAAGAGAGGACAGGUGGGGGAGGGAGAAGUGAGUUGUGUGGUUUCAGGGAUUAUUCAGUGUGUUUGUCUUCAUUUCUCUCUCCCUCCCUCUUUCUCACCCUUCAUCCCUCUUUCUGAACUGUCAGAGAAAAGACAUGAAGAUGUCACGCCCGUUCCAAGUCGCUAUCCGUCUUUUUCCUCCUCCUCGGUACAGUCUCCCCCAACGUACUCAAGGGGAGGUGUUGAGCAGCCUGGUGGAUUUAUUGGGGUAAUUGAUUGCCAGGCUGAUGGCAGCGAUGUUCUUCAGAGCCUGCACAGUAAAACAGGAUACCAAGGUGAGUGAAUGAAUAAGGGAAAGAGAGAAGGGGAUGAGGGAGAGGACAUGAUAAAAAAAGGGGAUGAGGGAGAGGGUGAAACAGACAAAGGGGGUGAGGGAGAGGAUGUAACAGACAAAGGGUGUGAGGGAGAGGAUGUAACAGACAAAGGGGAUGAGGGAGAGGAUGUAACAGACAAAGGGGAUGAGGGAGAGGAUGUAACAGACAAAGGGGAUGAGGGAGAGGAUGUAACAGACAAAGGGGUGAGGGAGAGGGAAUGACGAGGGGGUGAGGCAGCACGACUAACAGCAAGAGUGUGAGAGUGAAGGACAGAUAGAGGAGUUAAUUACAAUCUUUAAGCAGUAAGUUCACUGAGGUAUGAGAACUCCUUUGUGAUGUUCUAUAUGAAGGACAACAUUUCACCUCUUGUUCAAUGUAAAGGACAACAUUUCAC